RNAcentral lists this ribosomal RNA (395 nucleotides) under uncultured bacterium. RNAcentral describes it as "bacterial SSU rRNA". It matches the Rfam family "Bacterial small subunit ribosomal RNA", at positions 505 to 898 of the family's 1533-position model. The record is from RNAcentral.
GUGUCAGCCGCCGCGGUAAUACAGAGGGUGCUAGCGUUGUUCGGAAUUAUUGGGCGUAAAGGGCGCGUAGGCGGCUCGGUAUGUCGGGUGUGAAAGCCCACCUCUUAAAGGUGGAAUUGCAUUCGAAACUACCGAGCUAGAGUAUCGGAGAGGAUGGUGGAAUUCCUGGUGUAGAGGUGAAAUUCGUAGAUAUCAGGAGGAACACCGGUGGCGAAGGCGGCCAUCUGGACGAAUACUGACGCUGAGGCGCGAAAGCGUGGGGAUCAAACAGGAUUAGAUACCCUGGUAGUCCACGCUGUAAACGAUGGGUGCUAGGUGUUGUGGGUAUUGACCCCCGCAGUGCCGUCGCUAACGCAUUAAGCACCCCGCCUGGGGAGUACGGCCGCAAGGCUAAA